UACAGGGGGGGCAAGCGUUGUUCGGAAUUACUGGGCGUAAAGGGCCAGUAGGCGGCCAACUAAGUCACACGUGAAAUCCCCAGGCUUAACCUGGGAACUGCGUGUGAUACUGGAUGGCUUGAAUUCGGGAGAGGGAUGCAGAAUUCCAGGUGUAGCGGUGAAAUGCGUAGAUAUCUGGAGGAAUACCGGUGGCGAAGGCGGCAUCCUGGACCGGCAUUGACGCUGAGGAGCGAAAGCUAGGGGAGCAAACGGG
RNAcentral lists this ribosomal RNA (253 nucleotides) under uncultured bacterium. RNAcentral's name for it is "partial 16S ribosomal RNA". It matches the Rfam family "Bacterial small subunit ribosomal RNA", at positions 524 to 776 of the family's 1533-position model. The record is from RNAcentral.